GAGAAAUAAAAAUUGAUAUUUUUAACCGUGGCCAUCAAAACAGUUAACACGCAAUGACUGGGCUUAUAAAAGCAUAUUUCACUCCAGUACCAGCUUUUUGAGGAGCUACUCUCGCGCUGUCUGACAGGUGGUAGGCUAUUCUGCUCCUCAAACUAGACUCUGUAUGCUGUGCUUGUGAUAACUAAGAAGCAUGACGACUAACAAAAAUACACACACCAAUUUAAUUUCACAAAAUUAUGCAAAUGAACCUAUAGACCGAUAAGCAUGACUGGUCAAAUGUAUUUUCGGCGGCUAACCUAUUAACCGUUAACCGUUAACAUCCCUACAAGAAGUGCACUGGAAUGACAUUCACUCUCAUGGGAUGGGUGGCCAAAAAUAACUAACUGAAAGCCACACUCCCAAUAAGCCAUGAAUAUGACCGCAUUGAGGCAUAUGUCACUGUGCUUCUAUGGCUAUAUGCACUAUAUAAAUGCACCAUACCACUGCCUGCUUUGUUCAUUUAGCAAACAAGACCGCUCAUAAUCCAGUGCCUUUAUCACAGUCAAUACACAUAUUUGAGCUUUAAAAAUGCUAUUUUUUUUCUCUGCCUCAUGACAAAAUGAAUAGAAGUGCUGUAAAUUAGGGGGGGACCAAUUCAUUUCUGGCUACACUACUGCAGGGGUUGGCUUAGAUUGAUGACAACAUGUAAACUAUAUUUAAUUUCCAAAUGUUUAUUGAAAACAUAAAUACAUUUGCACAAUGAGCACUUGUCUCAUAGAUCGUUAAAGUUGUUGAUUAGCUAGCUCAUUUUAGCCAUAUUAGCAUUGACAUGAAAUCAGUCAAAACACAUCAAAACAAGACAUGGUAUCAAGAACAAGAUAAAACUAGCUGAAAUGAGCCACCUACGAUUCCCCACAUGGCAACUUCUUGUCAUUGUUACUAGCCAUCUGACCGUUCAGAAUCAUAACAAAGCUCAGCUUCCGGCCCCAUUGUGUGUCAUUUUCGUGACGCCAGCCAACUUGUAUGACGUAGGCAAAGUGUGAAGAUGUUAAAGAUCAUUGGAUGAGACUGAGUUAAGGAUGCACGAUUUGACAUUGGACUCUGCAGGUUGACCAAACUUAGUUUAGCGUUUGGUCGCUUGAUGGUACGAAACAUGUGCUUUUUGUUUCUUUUUCAUUGAAGAGACUGGAGCUACAAGGUAACUAGGAGUUAUUUUAGUGGUAAUUCAGUAAUUGAACAGUACGGGGUAUGUGAUUAGGGCCGGGACGACACCAGUAUCGCAAUACUCCUUAGUAUCGUGGCAAGGAAAUAAAACACAAAGCAGGUUGAACUUCUUUAUCAAAACUAUCAUUAUGUUAUCAUCCAGAGUCACAUUUUGGCAUUCGUGACUCUGCUCAGUGUGUGCUAAAGCUCAGGGUGGAAAUAUCUUUGGGGGAGUAUUUUUUUUCUCUCCUGAUGUGCAAUUUCACCAACAAUAUGAAGAAAUGUGAAUUGUGAACUUUUUACAGGGGGCAUUCAAAGGUCAUUUUAUUUGCCAACAAUUGAUUUGGUUGGCCAAGUGUUAUAUCAUUGAAAACAGUAUUCCUCCACUGCUGUAUGGGCCACUUGAAGGUUUUGCAGAACCGUGUUGUGUUUCAAGGCACUUGGGAGUAUUCCUGUCAGGUGGCAAGCACACUGAAAUGGCAAAAGAAGAGCCGAAAUCCAAGUUAGGUUGAAUCAUUUCAUCAGAGGAGGAAGGUUGUAUACGUGCUAUGCACAUAGACAUGACAUGCUAUGCAGAUCAAUCAGGAGAACUAAAAAUAAGUCUUGAAGGAAAUUAAGAUCUCCUUUUGAAGGUUUUGUUAUUUAAUGUUUUCCUUAAAUGUUAUAUCGCUUUAAGUAAGGGAAACCGGGGCUUCAUGUGGGAAUCAUUUCUCACUAAUUACACUUUGUUAUACAUUACUAACCGUCUUUUUUAUGAAAUUAAUACAAUGUGUGAAGUAAAAAAAUACAUAUAUUUGACUAUAGUUUAAUAUACAAUUUAGAUGGAGGUUAUAAGUGAAAUAUUAAUAUAUUACUAAUCAGGAAAAAAAGUAGUUUUUUUUUUAAAUUGGAGAAACUAUUUCAAAGAUCAUUUUUAACAGUCAUUUUCUAUAUAUUCUUUUAUUUUUGUAAAAGAUGAGAUGCAUGUAGAUUUUAUACAUAACCAAAGGAACACUAAGAAUUGCAUGGCAGAUAAGGGGGUGCUUGGGACAAUGUAUUUCAGUGCAGAUAAGCUUUGCAAGUGGAGCCUGUUCAAAGACCUGCCAUUUUAACAAAUGACAAGGCAGGUGAGGUGAGGCAAAGUGGAUGCGUGGACCAGUAUAACUUUAUUUUCCAAAUUGACUUGCCACUUAUUUAGUUCAUUUGACUUGACUAUUGUGAAAUUUAAAUACAAAUAAAAACCUCACAUGAAAUGUACACAAUGGAGGACAUUUUGCUUUCAGCAGUGAUCUCUCAGGGUCAUUCAAAAAUAAUAACAAUGGAAACAUCUUCCUUAAGGGGGUAAUCAGAUAAUCAUCAGAAUAACAACAUUUAUUUAAGGUGAAUUUCUUUGUUAAAAUACAAGAUUGUAAACCAACAGCCCCUCGUGUUCUGCCGUUUUCUUGAUAUGGCAUCCUUGACACAAGUGUCUUGGAUUCAAGCCACUUUCAAUUUAACACUUUAAAAUACAAAUUCUAAUUUUACUGUAAGACGGAAGUAUACAAGAUAUCUUUAGUCAUAUAUCAUAAUAAUAGUCUCGUUCGAGGUUGUUAAACUGCCAAUAUUGAACACUAGAACAUGUUACUCAAUAGCAAGAUGCACCAUGUCAUUUUACAAAAAAAUGUUUCUUUCCUUUUGAAGAUGUGUUUUGUGUUAGGCGGAAGUUUGUAUUUAAGUAUUUGUUCAUGUCAGAAAAAAGGUUAUCGUUUAUUGUAAAGUUUUUUUUGUGUUGACCAGUUUUUCAUCUGAAAUGCAUCCUAGAUGGAGUUUUACAUGAUUGUUAAUAAUGUCACUGUAACCAUGUGAAUACAUUAGCUUUUAAUUUGUAUAAAGCACCCGUUUUCUCACAAAGAUUUUCCUAUUGAUCGGUGCUAGUUGUCAUUUAUGACAUACAUUAAGAUGGCCGUAAUGUAAAUGGUGCAUAUUUACAUCACUUUAGGGCCUUGAAUCAUUUGUAUGCAUCACACAAAUGGAUAUCUUGAGUGAGUAUAAAGGUAUUGAUUAGUUAAAGGUCCAAUGCAGCCAUUUACAAUUAAGUACCUUACUGUGAUUGUUUUUUUCUCUCAAUUAAAACAGUAAAAAAAUAAAUAAAAUAAAAAAUUGCUUCUUAAUUUCUCAAGCAAGAAUUUUGCUUGGACCGCCUGUGAGUGGUGGGGAGGAUAAAAGUGAAAACUAGCUGUUAUUGGCAGAGUUUGAGUUUGGAACUCUCUUUCUUAUUGGUGUAUACUAAUGUCACCAGGCAGGUCAAAACCCCAUCCCACCAAGAGGCAGUCAUUCAAAUCUUUUCAAACAGCUUUUACACUGAAAGGGUAUAUCACAACCUCAUAGUGUGAAAAUAUUUGUAAAACACAGGAAAUCAAGUUAUUUACUGCACUGGGCCUUUAAAGAAACAAACCUUUAUUAGUAUUUU
This 3610-nucleotide long non-coding RNA is filed under the name Salmo salar (Atlantic salmon). RNAcentral's name for it is "lncRNA (ENSSSAG00000085375.1)". The record is from RNAcentral. Lineage: Eukaryota; Metazoa; Chordata; Actinopteri; Salmoniformes; Salmonidae.